GACGAACGCUGGCGGCGUGCUUAACACAUGCAAGUCGAGCGGAGCGGCGAACGGGUGAGUAACGCGUGAGUAACUGCCCCCCUCUCUGGGAUAACAGUUGGAAACGGCUGCUAAUACCGGAUCGUGGGGGAUGACUCGCGUCCUAUCAGCUUGUUGGUGGGGUAGUCGCCUACCAAGGCGACGACGGGUAGCCCGUCUGAGAGGGCGACCGGCCUCAUUAGGCUGAGAUACGGCCGAAACGCAUACGGGACGAAGCAGUGGGGAAUAUUGCACAAUAGGGGAAACCCAGAUGCAGAGACGCCGCGUGCGGGAAGACGGACUGCGGGUUGUAAACCGCUUUCAGCCAUGACGCGGUAGUGGCAGAAGAAGCACCGGCUAACUACGUGCCAGCAGCCGCGGUAAUUC
RNAcentral lists this ribosomal RNA (405 nucleotides) under uncultured bacterium. RNAcentral's name for it is "partial 16S ribosomal RNA". It matches the Rfam family "Bacterial small subunit ribosomal RNA", at positions 28 to 526 of the family's 1533-position model. The record is from RNAcentral.